This 497-nucleotide ribosomal RNA is filed under the name uncultured bacterium. RNAcentral's name for it is "partial 16S ribosomal RNA". It matches the Rfam family "Bacterial small subunit ribosomal RNA", at positions 28 to 507 of the family's 1533-position model. The record is from RNAcentral.
GAUGAACGCUGGCGGCGUGCCUAAUACAUGCAAGUCGAGCGAACAGACGAGGAGCUUGCUCCUCUGACGUUAGCGGCGGACGGGUGAGUAACACGUGGAUAACCUACCUAUAAGACUGGGAUAACUUCGGGAAGCCGGAGCUAAUACCGGAUAAUAUCUUGAACCGCAUGGUUCAAUAGUGAAAGACGGUUUUGCUGUCACUUCUAGAUGGAUCCGCGCCGCAUUAGCUAGUUGGUAAGGUAACGGCUUACCAAGGCAACGAUGCGUAGCCGACCUGAGAGGGUGAUCGGCCACACUGGAACUGAGACACGGUCCAGACUCCUACGGGAGGCAGCAGUAGGGAAUCUUCCGCAAUGGGCGAAAGCCUGACGGAGCAACGCCGCGUGAGUGAUGAAGGUCUUCGGAUCGUAAAACUCUGUUAUUAGGGAAGAACAAAUGUGUAAGUAACUAUGCACGGCUUGACGGUACCUAAUCAGAAAGCCACGGCUAACUACGUG